AGAGUUGGCAGCCACGGGUAUAUUUGCGGAUUUGUUACGUGUGACUCGUGCAUUUUCUUC
This 60-nucleotide non-coding RNA is filed under the name Ditylum brightwellii. Lineage: Eukaryota; Bacillariophyta; Thalassiosirophyceae; Lithodesmiales; Lithodesmiaceae. The record is from RNAcentral.